Pygocentrus nattereri (red-bellied piranha) is the source of this 3320-nucleotide long non-coding RNA. The record is from Ensembl. Lineage: Eukaryota; Metazoa; Chordata; Actinopteri; Characiformes; Serrasalmidae.
GCUUGGCAUUCAUUCUCUUAUGCAGUUGAUAGCAAAGGUUUGGAAAAAUGAUCUCCCUUACCGCUGCAGUCUACAAAACAUUGCUGUUAGUGGUGGCUAAAUUUUAUGGUAUGGCUCCACUGAAAACAAUACGGUUGCUGUUGACCAUCUACCACCAUCGUGUAAACUGGUGGUCACCAACCCUAGUCCUGGGGAUCUACCUUCCUGCAGAGUCUAAUUCCAACCACAACCUGCCGCACCUGCUCCAGCUAAUCACCACCUUCAGAGGUUCUCUACUGGCUGGGUCAGAUGCAGACUGUUAGGAAAAGAGGAGAGGCAGCAUUUUAGUUGCAGGUCAAAACUAAACUCUGCAGGAAGAUCUCCAAGAGCAGGGUUGGUGACCACUAUUGUAAACACACUGUCAAUAUUGUCACUACAGUCACAUCUCUGUGUCAUAAUUCAUUUAGAUAAAGUUGAGAAUCUAUUUAUUGUUUGUCGCCCUGUUGCUGUGUUGCUUGUUGAGGCUACACACUGCCUACUACCUUAGGAAAUGACUGGCCAACUGUUGCUGUGUAAUUGGCAUAUCCACCCAGAAAUGUAUUCUUUUGUAGCAACUGUUGUGAGGUUAAGCAACCUUUAUAGGACACUGGCCAAAUUCCCAUUUAACAUAAUUGGAAGUUGAAGCACACAUGCAAUUUUUCUCAAAACGCUACAUAGUUAAUAACAGAAUAAUAAGUUUGCCGGUUAAUGGAUUAAAAUGCUUAUUAUUUAUACUGUUUAUCUGUCAUCCUUUCUUUCAGGUACUCUGGUGGUGACCACAGCACAGGACCUGGCCAGUGUGACAGAAACUGUUAGAGAAGCUAUUGAUGCUACAGAGCCACCAAAGGAGCAGGUCACAACAGUAGCUCCAGAGGAAGCUGUCAAUGAAGUAUCUGUACUACCUGCUACUAAAGCUGCUGUGACAGAAACAGAAGCACAAGUAACUGAUACAGAAGCUCCAGUCGUAUCCACAGUGGUAGCUCCAGAUGGGCCUACUGUCACAGAAGCUACACCUGAGCCUGAUGAGACAACAAGUGUGGUAGUAACAGUGGCAGCUGUAGGGACAGUGGCAGCUGUAGGGACAGAGCCAGCUGUAGUGACAGAGGCAAAAGAAGAGGAAAAUGCAGCUCCAGAGGCCGAAGCAGAGUUAGAGCAAGAGACUGCAACACAGGCAGAUGUGGAAGUGGAAGAUUCAGGCUUGAGUACAGGCCAUGUGGUGGGCAUUGUGAUUGGUGCCCUGGUAGCUGUGGUCAUCAUCAUCGCUGUGAUAGUUGUGGUGGUCAGGAGGAUGGGCCAAUACUCCCCCUGAAAAGGAAGGCAGCGCGACAGGAAGAGAAGAAGAAAAAGUUCUUGAAAUUCUGAACUACUGAACCGACGUCAUUUCCUGUCAUUAAACAAAAAGCAAGCUAGGAGCACUCUGAACCAUCCAGGACUAUGAGGACGGUGUACUCACGCUCCCUCCCCACCACCACCAACCACAGAGCUAUUGAUAUGGAUGCUCUGCCCAACCCCCAUCAUCUCCCCUAUGUGUACCCCCCUCCCCCACCCCCUCACUACCAAAGAUUGAGACAGGAAGUCAAACCGACCCUCUGUGUUCUUAGGCACAGUAAUGUAAAGGAAAAGAGAGAGAGGAGGAAUGUGAAUGUGCAGACACACCUCACAGAGUCAGGGUCUGGAAAGAGGACCUAAUGAACCACAUUAACAAACACACACAUACCAGCAACCUUAAUAUCUGUCGACAUAUCUCUUAAAAACUAGGGAGAAUUAUAGGCAAUGAAAUAAAUACAUACAUUUCUGUAUUUAUACCAGAAGAUGGAGAUCAUAAACAAUAAAAGUCUCAAAUCGUCGCUGUCAUAUCAAAACCGUGUACCAUCCUCUUUUUUUUUAGGUUUUUAACUUUUCUGAUAUGCAAGGGAAAUAUAUUUCCAUAUGUUUUUCAAAAGAUGUGUCAGGUUUGUAAUAAAUUUUGACAUAUGUGAAUUUAGAAAUGGACACUAUUACGUUUAUUACAUCUACAUAAGUGCACAUAUGUAAAUGUAUUGCCAUAUAUGCAUAUAUUGUCAUAUAUUUCAUUAUUAAAAAUGGCACAGGUAGACAUAUUUGGAACAUAUAUUUUAAAACAUCACGUAUAUUGCACAUAUAUUUUUAAUAUGAGCAAAUGUAUGUGCAUAUAAUUUUCUUCCAUGUAGGUAUUAUUGUUUACACCAUUGGAAAACACCAGCUCCCCUUUACAUUGUGUGAACAUUUCACAGUAAUGGACCAACAGAAAAGGUCCAAACUAAAAUAAUAGCUUGUUACAUUGAUGUACAUUCAGGUUAAGAACAUGUUGUCAUUCUUAAGACCUGAGUUUUUGUUACAACAGCGACAAAACACAAUCUUCAUCUGCCAUUAUCUUAAUUUUCAUAGCAUUCUGCAUAUCGUUAGCAUGCAUGCACACACAUAGACGCUCUAUGCACAUUCUUUUCCAAUCACAAUGACAGGUCAACUGAAAUGUCCGGCAGUAGAAUGAAGCAAUAAAGACAGCUUAUCACCAGAUUCUAAACAGGAGACUGUAAGCUGUUAUAAGCUGUCACAAGCAGACUCUGUUAGGAUGUCUUACGCCUGGUCUUAGUGUAGCUUUGACUGUUGAAUAAAGUUUGUUUCGUAUGUAGAUGUAACUUGACAUUCUAGUAGCUUUAACUGUGGCAUUUAAAGCCUUAAUCCGGAGCUGUGAACCUUAGCAGAGGGGCUAGCACCACUGACUUGGGGACAGCUGGAUACUUCCUAAAAAUGGCUUCUUUAAUGUGAAACUGAAUUGACUGUGUUUGUUAACAGCCUCCCUUACCAAUAGUAAAUCUCAUCUCAUUUUGCGUUUCCCAAAUUUGGACUAUAUUUACAGAUGUAAAAAGCCUGUAGACACCAUCUCUAUCUGCUGUCUACAAUAUGUGGUCUGGCCUUCAGAUUUGUGUACUGACCUCUGGUUCACUGGACUAGAAGUGGUUCUUUUUGCUGCAUUUUUAAGGGGUGUGUGAGUUAUGCUCUGCUUGCUUUAAGAGAUCAAUAAUACAUGCACUGACUGAUAAACAAUGUUUGGUAGAAAAGGCCUUUAGACACUGCAACCGUUUGCAACGAUGCUUGAUUUGCCUUUUUUAUGCUUCAUAGUCCACAUGCCAAGUCCUUUUACUGUCUGCUUUCAACAAAAGGCAUUUUAUUUAAUUGCAGUGUUUUUUCUCCCUUUUUGGAUGUUCAUACUGUUUAAAUAAAAAAGUGAAAAAAGAACAGUGUGAAUUUCUUCAGUAUUGGGGGUCUGGGGGUUGUCAACC